CAGAUUGCAGGCUGCAACUCGCCUGUAUGAAGUUGGAAUUGCUAGUAAUCGCGGAUCAGCAUGCCGCGGUGAAUACGUUCCCGGGCCUUGUACACACCGCCCGUCACACCAUGAGAGCCGGUAAUACCCGAAGUCAGUAUCCUAACCGCAAGGAGGGAGCUGCCGAAGGUAGGAUUGGCGAUUGGGGUGAAGUCGUAACAAGGUAGC
This 207-nucleotide ribosomal RNA is filed under the name uncultured bacterium. RNAcentral's name for it is "partial 16S ribosomal RNA". It matches the Rfam family "Bacterial small subunit ribosomal RNA", at positions 1294 to 1500 of the family's 1533-position model. The record is from RNAcentral.